AUGCGGGGGCGCCGGCGGCCAGAAAGCCAGGCGCGCGCCAACUGCGGUAGGAGAAGGGGCAUGCCGGUGGCCGGCAUCGGCUGCAACCAUGCGGAGGCAGUAGUACAAUCUACGAUCUUGGCUUUGGCGACUUGGUCAGGUGGGGCGCGAGGGUGCUUGGGUGGGUGGAGAAUUGGGAAGAGUCUCGCGUUCAAUCUCUUCUGGUUCGAACGGACUUGGGAUGAUUCUCGCGUUCUUGUUCUGGGCGAGGGGCCUUACUGCUCCUGUCUGAGACAAGGUUCUUCUUGUGAUUUGGGUUCAGGGGGGAAUUGA
Molecule: ribosomal RNA, 312 nt
Filed under: Triticum aestivum (bread wheat)
Lineage: Eukaryota; Viridiplantae; Streptophyta; Magnoliopsida; Poales; Poaceae
Description: partial small subunit ribosomal RNA
Source: RNAcentral